UAACCCGCACCACUAAUCGUGGUGGGAGACAGUGUCAGGUGGGCAGUUUGACUGGGGCGGUCGCCUCCUAAAAAGUAACGGAGGCGCCCAAAGGUUCCCUCAGAAUGGUUGGAAAUCAUUCGCAGAGGGUAAAGGCACAAGGGAGCUUGACUGCGAGACAGACAGGUCGAGCAGGGACGAAAGUCGGGCUUAGUGAUCCGGUG
RNAcentral lists this ribosomal RNA (203 nucleotides) under Lactiplantibacillus plantarum. Its description in RNAcentral is "Lactobacillus plantarum partial 23S ribosomal RNA". It matches the Rfam family "Bacterial large subunit ribosomal RNA", at positions 2223 to 2425 of the family's 2925-position model. The record is from RNAcentral. Lineage: Bacteria; Bacillati; Bacillota; Bacilli; Lactobacillales; Lactobacillaceae.